GUCUCGGUAAUAACUAUAAUGAAACUGGGUAGAUAAAAAAGGUGACUUGUAAGUUUCUAUGUACUUUUGUAUUUCUUGGUGCAUACAAGAUGAUACUACACAGGAUUUUAUUUUUACCUUCUUAAAACCAAUAUCAGCAGCAUAUUCUCUGAAACAUUGUCUGCAAAUGUUCAGACCAUAUUUACGGAUAAGUCCAUGUUUAUUUGCACAAGCACGGCUGUAAACAAAAUUAAAAGAAAUAUUUUAAA
RNAcentral lists this long non-coding RNA (248 nucleotides) under Polistes fuscatus (common paper wasp). RNAcentral describes it as "uncharacterized LOC122513251". The record is from RNAcentral. Lineage: Eukaryota; Metazoa; Arthropoda; Insecta; Hymenoptera; Vespidae.